GCGCCUGUAGCUCAGUGGAUAGAGCAUCGGUCUUCGGAACCGAGGGUCACAGGUUCGAAUCCUGUCAGGCGCGCCA
RNAcentral lists this transfer RNA (76 nucleotides) under SAR202 cluster bacterium. Its description in RNAcentral is "tRNA-Arg". It matches the Rfam family "tRNA". Rfam says of the family: Transfer RNA (tRNA) molecules are approximately 80 nucleotides in length. Their secondary structure includes four short double-helical elements and three loops (D, anti-codon, and T loops). Further hydrogen bonds mediate the characteristic L-shaped molecular structure. tRNAs have two regions of fundamental functional importance: the anti-codon, which is responsible for specific mRNA codon recognition, and the 3' end, to which the tRNAs corresponding amino acid is attached (by aminoacyl-tRNA synthetases). tRNAs cope with the degeneracy of the genetic code in two manners: having more than one tRNA (with a specific anti-codon) for a particular amino acid; and 'wobble' base-pairing, i.e. permitting non-standard base-pairing at the 3rd anti-codon position. Lineage: Bacteria; Bacillati; Chloroflexota; Dehalococcoidia. The record is from RNAcentral.